CGAGUGAAGCGGGAAGAGCUCACGAUGUGAAUCGAGCCCUCGGGCCCGAAUUGUAGUCUGGAGAGGCGAGGCCUGCCGCUGUCCGCGGCCAAGUCUGAUUGGAAAUGAGCAUCUCGGAGGGUGAUAAUCCCGUUCAUGCCGCGGUAUCGAUCAGCGCGCACGAGGCCCGUUUUCGUGGAGUCGAGUUGCUUGGGAUUGCAGCUCAAAGUGGGUGGUAAACCCCAUCCAAAGCUAAACACGGGGGGGAGACCGAUAGCGAACAAGUACCGUGAGGGAAAGAUGCAAAGAACUUUGAAAAGAGAGUUAAAGAGUGCCUGAAAUUGCUGGAAGAGAAGCGAAGGAAAGAGGCGUGCGGGUGCCGGAGCGCCGACCCCCAUCUGCAUACUGCUUGUGGGUGGGGGUAGUCCGCUCCGCCGCAGUCAGUGGUUGCGCCAGGUUCGCGGGAUGCUCCGCGCGGGAUCGGUGGCCGUCUUGGACGGUGUCAGGCCCGCGCCGGUGGCGCCGCGAGACCCGGUCGCACCUG
This 523-nucleotide ribosomal RNA is filed under the name Zonaria stipitata. Its description in RNAcentral is "LSU rRNA". It matches the Rfam family "Eukaryotic large subunit ribosomal RNA", at positions 90 to 504 of the family's 3401-position model. The record is from RNAcentral. Lineage: Eukaryota; Phaeophyceae; Dictyotales; Dictyotaceae.